GUCUAUAAUAGGUUUCCUGUCCAUUGUGUGAUAAUGAAUUCACACAGGAGUUUAUCCAAAUACAUGCCAGCAUGUGUGGUGAAAAGGAAAGGCACAGCACCAUACUAGGUGCAGAUGACACCUCAAAGCACUUGAGCAGCUUAUCAGACAUCCUGAGGUUUCUACAAGAAAUAAUUAACACCACUAAAACCUUUAACAUUAAUGUGACAAGGGAGGACCUCUACCAGAGAGGUCUGAAACAGUGGGCCAGACAGAAACAGGCCUCCCCCAAGAACCAAC
Molecule: long non-coding RNA, 279 nt
Organism: Girardinichthys multiradiatus
Lineage: Eukaryota; Metazoa; Chordata; Actinopteri; Cyprinodontiformes; Goodeidae
Exons: 3
Source: RefSeq, a predicted model, not a curated record